This 732-nucleotide long non-coding RNA is filed under the name Bemisia tabaci. Its description in RNAcentral is "lncRNA ENSSWEETPG012338". The record is from RNAcentral. Lineage: Eukaryota; Metazoa; Arthropoda; Insecta; Hemiptera; Aleyrodidae.
AUGUUCUGUGACUCCUAUUUUUUGAAAGGGUGGCAACAUUGCUGCUAUAGUCUUUUCAAUUUUUUUGCGUACACAGUGCGAAGCACCAUCCUCGUGCUAACCCUCGGAAUGGCAGAAACAGGAGGCGACAAAAUUUCUAAGAAUGAGUUAAAGCGGAGGUUAAAGGCUGAACAAAAAGCGAAGGAAAAACUUGAAAAAGAAAAAAUGAAGCAGCUAAAAAAGUUGCUAACCCAAAACCAUCUGCUGCAGCUGAAGAAGAAAUUAGCCCCAAUGAAUAUUUCAAAUUACGUAGCUCAGCUGUCAGCCAGUUAAAAGAAUCAGGACCUCAUCCGUAUCCACACAAAUUUCAUGUGGAUAUUUCUCUAGAAGCAUUUAUAGACAAGUACAAUGGUUUAUCGAAGGUGAAGUUCUUGAGGAUGUAACUCUCAGUGUAUCUGGUAAGUUCAUCAUCAUAUUGACAAUCAAGCACCCUUAAAAUAGUUUUUCGAUGGACCGCUAGACAAGGUGCAAACUUAAGCAUUAUGAUCCAUGUAUUCUCAUCAAAAUUUUAGUAGAACACGAUUUGUGCAAUAAAAAUUAUUGAUUGCAACUCCUAACCAAGAUAAGUAUUAACAUUUAUUUAUACAAGAACUCCUACUUCAGGCGCAUAACAAAACCAUAAAAUACUUGAGUGAAAUCGCUUUCUAGGUGUCAUGGUAACAAGGUCUGCAGUGUGAGAAGAUGGCUCUCUCA